RNAcentral lists this ribosomal RNA (141 nucleotides) under uncultured Burkholderia sp. RNAcentral describes it as "partial 16S ribosomal RNA". It matches the Rfam family "Bacterial small subunit ribosomal RNA", at positions 338 to 477 of the family's 1533-position model. Lineage: Bacteria; Pseudomonadati; Pseudomonadota; Betaproteobacteria; Burkholderiales; Burkholderiaceae. The record is from RNAcentral.
CCUACGGGAGGCAGCAGUGGGGAAUUUUGGACAAUGGGGGAAAGCCUGAUCCAGCAAUGCCGCGUGUGUGAAGAAGGCCUUCGGGUUGUAAAGCAAUUUUGUCCGGAAAGAAAUCAUGCCUCUAAUACACUCGCGGCGGGA